CUGAUUUCCUCUGGUGGUUUAGGUGUUGCUAAUUACAGUCUAGCACCAUAUGAAAUCAGUGU
Molecule: microRNA precursor, 62 nt
Organism: Gadus morhua (Atlantic cod)
Lineage: Eukaryota; Metazoa; Chordata; Actinopteri; Gadiformes; Gadidae
Source: Ensembl